GAUGAACGCUGGCGGCGUGCCUAAUACAUGCAAGUCGAGCGAACAGAUGAGGAGCUUGCUCCUCUGACGUUAGCGGCGGACGGAUGAGUAACACGUGGAUAACCUACCUAUAAGACUGGGAUAACUUCGGGAAACCGGAGCUAAUACCGGAUAAUAUAUUGAACCGCAUGGUUCAAUAGUGAAAGACGGUUUUGCUGUCACUUAUAGAUGGAUCCGCGCCGCAUUAGCUAGUUGGUAAGGUAACGGCUUACCAAGGCAACGAUGCGUAGCCGACCUGAGAGGGUGAUCGGCCACACUGGAACUGAGACACGGUCCAGACUCCUACGGGAGGCAGCAGUAGGGAAUCUUCCGCAAUGGGCGAAAGCCUGACGGAGCAACGCCGCGUGAGUGAUGAAGGUCUUCGGAUCGUAAAACUCUGUUAUUAGGGAAGAACAAAUGUGUAAGUAACUAUGCACGUCUUGACGGUACCUAAUCAGAAAGCCACGGCUAACUACGUG
Molecule: ribosomal RNA, 497 nt
Filed under: uncultured bacterium
Lineage: Bacteria
Description: partial 16S ribosomal RNA
Rfam family: Bacterial small subunit ribosomal RNA
Source: RNAcentral